AACGAACGCUGGCGGCAGGCUUAACACAUGCAAGUCGAACGCCCCGCAAGGGGAGUGGCAGACGGGUGAGUAACGCGUGGGAACGUACCUUUCGCUUCGGAAUAUUCCCGGGAAACUGGGAGCAAUGCCGAAUACGCCGUAUUGGGAAAGAUUUAUCGGCGAAAGAUCGGCCCGCGUUAGAUUAGGUAGUUGGCGGUGUAAUGGACCACCAAGCCUACGAUCUAUAGCUGGUCUGAGAGGAUGAUCAGCCACACUGGGACUGAGACACGGCCCAGACUCCUACGGGAGACAGCAGUGGGGAAUCUUGGACAAUGGGCGCAAGCCUGAUCCAGCCAUGCCGCGUGAGUGAAGAAGGCCUUAGGGUUGUAAAACUCUUUCGCCGGAGAAGAUAAUGACGGUAUCCGGAGAAGAAGCCCCGGCUAACUUCGUG
Molecule: ribosomal RNA, 430 nt
Filed under: uncultured bacterium
Lineage: Bacteria
Description: bacterial SSU rRNA
Rfam family: Bacterial small subunit ribosomal RNA
Source: RNAcentral